CCGCUGUCUUGUGGACGACGACUUGUAGUUUGUCUGGCUGAGUUUUAGGCUGAGGACAUAAGUGCAGAGCCGUAAUCCAGAUAAAAAAAAGCACACGGACGUUGUUUCUUUUUCACGUCGUAUAUGCUGAAAAUGGCAGGAUAUACUAAGAUUUCUGCAAAGAACCUUUGCUACAUAUGUGUAGCUUUUCUCUUGGUGUACUUGCCACCGGUAUUCUAUUUUAAUAGAGGGAACAGGAACAUUACGUCUAAACAUCCGCAUCAAGUUAAUCCUAAGCGGAAACACGUACAAAGAGGACAAAACGUCGUCACAUCAGCAUUGCACAAUCAACAACAAGAGAUAAGUAUAAGCCGGAUGACUAUUGCUUAUACCACUUCAUUGCACCUUAUCAAUGAUCGGGACGUUUUUAAAGUUGGAGAAACUCUAUUUAUUAAAAUAGUUGCCAAAGAUGCAAUGGCAAGGCCAAAAAGUUACGGAGAAGAUUUUUUCUUAGCCAAGUUAUACUCAAACUCUCCGAUACAGGCCUGCUCGCCUGGAAAAAUAAUAGACUAUGGAAAUGGAACUUAUCUCGCUAAAUUAUUUUUAUGUUGCCCAGGAAAAUUUUCCGUUUCAGUGAAGCUUAUACAUUCAAGUGAAGCUGUUCAAGUUCUCAGGAGGGCCCGUGAUACGUUUCUUGAUAGAAGGGUUACGAUUUGCGAUUUCUAUGAUGAAAAAACUAGCCGUUCGGAAUGGAAACAAUGUUCCUUUAGUCAAAACGACAGCGUGAACCCACGUGACAUCUGCGAUUUUUCCAAACGUGUACCGAAUUCUACAUUUUAUUGCGCAAGACCACGAACGAUUUCUUGUAAUUCAAUUUUACACUGCAAACGUGACUAUCAAGCCACAGAGACUCUCCACAAGAAGAUGGUUACCAGGGACGAGCUACAACUGUUAAACAGGACAAUUGAGGAUCGGGACGUUCCGACGAAAAUUAGCAUCACUGUGGAGGGAAAAGGCA
Branchiostoma floridae (Florida lancelet) is the source of this 997-nucleotide long non-coding RNA. RefSeq lists it as uncharacterized. The transcript is spliced from 4 exons. NCBI's taxonomy places the organism in Eukaryota, Metazoa, Chordata, Leptocardii, Amphioxiformes, Branchiostomatidae. The record is from RefSeq and is a predicted model, not a curated record.